This is a long non-coding RNA of Aethalodelphis obliquidens (Pacific white-sided dolphin), 426 nucleotides long. RefSeq lists it as uncharacterized. The record is from RefSeq and is a predicted model, not a curated record. The transcript is spliced from 2 exons. NCBI's taxonomy places the organism in Eukaryota, Metazoa, Chordata, Mammalia, Artiodactyla, Delphinidae.
AGAAAUAGAACGGGUGGCUGUCCUCCAGCCCCAGGUUGGGGGGAAAAAAAAUGCCGCAAAACCGAGUUCAUCCUGAAGACGGCGGUGGCUGACAGUUUUAUAACAGUGCUAGACACCCAGAUGGGCUCUUUCUAGCACAUUCCGUGGCCGAUGUGUCCGAACGACCCUCCUGAAUGCUACCAUUAUAUUGACCCCAGCGGGUUGGCAGAAAAUGUGUUUUUCAUUCUGCAGAGCUCCAAACCGCCGCCUGGAACACACAGACUUUUCUGCUUCUCUGCGAAGAAUCUGACAGCACACCGCAGCACACGGCAGGAUAUCUGCCUUUUCUGCCCCAACAAUUCUCCUCUCUAAGGCACAGAGGAGGUACAGAAGCAUGGAAACCGCUCCCUGAAUUACCAAAUCGCUCCUCUGAAUAAAAAAUAACCA